Cricetulus griseus (Chinese hamster) is the source of this 1644-nucleotide non-coding RNA. The record is from RefSeq and is a predicted model, not a curated record. Lineage: Eukaryota; Metazoa; Chordata; Mammalia; Rodentia; Cricetidae.
UCUGUGGCCUCAGGGCUGUCACACCAUUUUGCCCCUGGUCCCCACCCCCGCUGCUCCCUCCUGGGCCUGAGGAUGCUCCUAGGAGCGGGAGAACUUCGGGCCAGUGACGAUGUAAAAGAGGCCGGGGCCUUGCCCUCGGCCCAGCUCUGCACGCAGUGGCCUGUCGUGGGCCUGUCCCGGGACCCAAGCACCCGGGUGGCAUAGAGUGAUCCACCGGCGACCUCCCACCGCUGGGGUCUGGACCGCACUGUCUAGUUUGGGAGACCUGCACCUGAGCGGUGCCUGUGCUCCGUCCUUGACGCCGGGGGUCAUCUCCAGAGAAACAUCUCCCAGCGUUGUCUCUUAUGUUUUGUACAGUAAUGGUGAUAGGAAUUUUUAAGCAUGGGAGCGCAAAACCCCACAUGAUUUCUAAGGAGAGUCCAACAAAAUUUGUGAGGUAUCUUAAAUGCAGAGUGCUCGGAGUUUUCUUUGUAGUCAUGCUGGCUUUGGAGCAACUUUUAAUUAAGAAAGCUUGUAUAACAUCUGAGUUCACCAAUUUGGCUCUGGAGCAUACAGUACUUCUAUCUUUAAUUGAAGCGUGGAAAUGUGAAGCUACUUCAGUGAUUUUAUACUGGAUGUUGACAAAAAAGGAUUGUUGAAGACACACAAGUUGACAAAUGACAUUCAAUUACCAAUGGAAUACCUUUGAAAAAUGCUAACGUGUUUGAAUUAAAAGAGAUUUCAUGUCUAUAUAAAACAAUAUUCUGUUACCAAGAAGUUUUUCCUUAAUUGUUUCAGAUAGUUUGGCAUUCUCUACUUUACCUGACCUCUCAUCUUUGCUCUCAAAACACAGUAUUUGAAGUGAUUUUAGACCUGAAAUCAGUGGUAGCCAUACAGACACAUGUUGAACUAGUAGAGAUUGUAUAAUAUGAAAGAUGAAUUAAUUUCUCUUCCUAGAGUUUAUGUCCUGGAAGGCAGACACAUUCAAGAGCCGAGUCGCUGACACACAGUGGUAUUGUUCUGUCUUAGGCUUUUUAAACAAUUCAAACUCCUAAAUUGCUACACCUUCCACUUUUAGUAGGUGCUUUGCUCUGUAAUUUGAACCUCAACAGGUUUCUAAAAAUGUGGACAUUAUUAUAUGAUUAGUAUACAGAGAACUUUGACUUUGAAAAUUCAGCUAGGAACUGGUAAGCAGACGUGGGUUAAAAUUAGCAAAGCUUUUAUGCAUGAGUAGCUUACAGCCCCACAGUAGUGGGAUUUUUCUGGAUUCUCAGAGGAGAUUUGUAAAGAGAAACGGAACAAGAUUUAAAAACUGGUUUUGUACUUUGGGUUUUCAGUCUCGUUUUCAUAAAGGAGUGGAUAAUGGUCUUGAAAUUGUAUAAUUAGCCUUUUCCAAAAGGAGGCAAAGACUUCCAAACGUCAUUGAAACAGUUUUUCAACUUAAUAUUUCAUUCCAAGUCAAAUGCAUAGUUUUAUUUGGCAUGUACAUAAUACCUGUAAAUGCAGCUGAUACUUUAAUAAUCUUAGCUUGAUAACAUUUUGAGUAGUUCUUCACUUAACUAAUAAUCUAAAUGUUUAUAUGUGAUCAUGGAACAUUCAUUUAACUAUGUAAAAUCAGAGAAGCACUUUGUUUUAAAGUUAAUAAAUUGAAAAUGGGUCAGAAAA